RNAcentral lists this ribosomal RNA (492 nucleotides) under uncultured bacterium. RNAcentral describes it as "partial 16S ribosomal RNA". It matches the Rfam family "Bacterial small subunit ribosomal RNA", at positions 29 to 507 of the family's 1533-position model. The record is from RNAcentral.
AGUGAACGCUGGCGGUAGGCCUAACACAUGCAAGUCGAACGGCAGCACAGUAAGAGCUUGCUCUUACGGGUGGCGAGUGGCGGACGGGUGAGGAAUACAUCGGAAUCUACUUUUUCGUGGGGGAUAACGUAGGGAAACUUACGCUAAUACCGCAUACGACCUACGGGUGAAAGCAGGGGAUCUUCGGACCUUGCGCGAUUGAAUGAGCCGAUGUCGGAUUAGCUAGUUGGCGGGGUAAAGGCCCACCAAGGCGACGAUCCGUAGCUGGUCUGAGAGGAUGAUCAGCCACACUGGAACGGGGACACGGUCCAGACUCCUACGGGAGGCAGCAGUGGGGAAUAUUGGACAAUGGGCGCAAGCCUGAUCCAGCCAUACCGCGUGGGUGAAGAAGGCCUUCGGGUUGUAAAGCCCUUUUGUUGGGAAAGAAAAGCAGCAGGUUAAUACCCCGCUGUUCUGACGGUACCCAAAGAAUAAGCACCGGCUAACUUCGUG